Molecule: ribosomal RNA, 152 nt
Filed under: Serratia marcescens
Lineage: Bacteria; Pseudomonadati; Pseudomonadota; Gammaproteobacteria; Enterobacterales; Yersiniaceae
Description: partial 16S ribosomal RNA
Rfam family: Bacterial small subunit ribosomal RNA
Source: RNAcentral
AGCCUGAUGCAGCCAUGCCGCGUGUGUGAAGAAGGCCUUCGGGUUGUAAAGCACUUUCAGCGAGGAGGAAGGUGGGUGAGCUUAAUACGUUCAUCAAUUGACGUUACUCGCAGAAGAAGCACCGGCUAACUCCGUGCCAGCAGCCGCGGUAA